UCCUCUUACAAACACAUUAUAAUUGCUGAAACAUCUAAAUCAAAUUCAUAUAAACUGUAACAAGAUAACAAAUAAUACAAAUUUUUGAAGAUUUAGUUCGGCUGUUUCAUCACAGGAUUCAACAUGUGGUGGAAAAUCGUGGGAAUGAUGGCUGCUGCCUCCUUUAUAGGGUCUUUCUUGGGAUCCUUGACUGAGCUUUACAUGGCCUACAAGAGUGUGCAGGAAGUCAGUCGAAGAAUGAAAAUGGCGCAAGGGAAAAAGCCUCAAACCCAACAGCCCGGGAGCUUUACAAUGGUCCCUGAAGAGACAACAAGUAAAACAACUUAGAAGUGGCGGAUUUGAUUAAAAUUGAAGAAAAUUCUUA
Macrosteles quadrilineatus (aster leafhopper) is the source of this 364-nucleotide long non-coding RNA. RefSeq lists it as uncharacterized. The transcript has 2 exons. The record is from RefSeq and is a predicted model, not a curated record. Lineage: Eukaryota; Metazoa; Arthropoda; Insecta; Hemiptera; Cicadellidae.